This 488-nucleotide ribosomal RNA is filed under the name uncultured Gammaproteobacteria bacterium. RNAcentral's name for it is "bacterial SSU rRNA". It matches the Rfam family "Bacterial small subunit ribosomal RNA", at positions 30 to 505 of the family's 1533-position model. The record is from RNAcentral. Lineage: Bacteria; Pseudomonadati; Pseudomonadota; Gammaproteobacteria.
AUUGAACGCUGGCGGUAUGCUUUAGACAUGCAAGUCGAACGGUAACGAUAACUAGCUUGCUAGUUAGGCGACGAGUGGCGGACGGGUGAGUACAACUUAGGAAUCUAUCCAGUAGCUGGGGAUAACUCGGAGAAAUUCGAGCUAAUACCGAAUACGCACUACGGUGGAAAGAGGGGGACCUUCGGGCCUCUCACUAUUGGGUGAGCCUAAGCCGGAUUAGCUAGUUGGUGGGGUAAAGGCCUACCAAGGCGACGAUCCGUAGCUGGUCUGAGAGGACGAUCAGCCACACUGGGACUGAGACACGGCCCAGACUCCUACGGGAGGCAGCAGUCGGGAAUAUUGGACAAUGGGGGCAACCCUGAUCCAGCAAUACCGCGUGUGUGAAGAAGGCCUGCGGGUUGUAAAGCACUUUCAAUUGGGAAGAAAAGCUGAGGGUUAAUAGCCUUUGGUAUUGACGUUACCAAUACAAGAAGCACCGGCUAACUCCG